AACGAACGCUGGCGGCAGGCUUAACACAUGCAAGUCGAACGCCCCGCAAGGGGAGUGGCGGACGGGUGAGUAACGCGUGGGAACGUGCCCUAAGGUAGGGAAUAACUGAGGGAAACUUCAGCUAAUACCCUAUGUGCCCCGCAAGGGGGAAAGAUUUAUCGCCUUAGGAGCGGCCCGCGUCGGAUUAGCUAGUUGGUGGGGUAACGGCCUACCAAGGCUUCGAUCCGUAGCUGGUCUGAGAGGACGAUCAGCCACACUGGGACUGAGACACGGCCCAGACUCCUACGGGAGGCAGCAGUGGGGAAUCUUGCGCAAUGGGGGCAACCCUGACGCAGCCAUGCCGCGUGAAUGAUGAAGGCCUUAGGGUUGUAAAGUUCUUUUACCCGUGACGAUGAUGACGGUAACGGGGGAAUAAGCUCCGGCUAACUUCGUGCCAGCCGCCGCCGUAAAAC
This 452-nucleotide ribosomal RNA is filed under the name uncultured bacterium. RNAcentral describes it as "bacterial SSU rRNA". It matches the Rfam family "Bacterial small subunit ribosomal RNA", at positions 29 to 526 of the family's 1533-position model. The record is from RNAcentral.